RNAcentral lists this ribosomal RNA (383 nucleotides) under uncultured bacterium. Its description in RNAcentral is "bacterial SSU rRNA". It matches the Rfam family "Bacterial small subunit ribosomal RNA", at positions 28 to 412 of the family's 1533-position model. The record is from RNAcentral.
GACGAACGCUGGCGGCGUGCUUAACACAUGCAAGUCGAGCGGUAAGGCCCUUUCGGGGGUACACGAGCGGCGAACGGGUGAGUAACACGUGGGUGACCUGCCCUCAGCUCUGGGAUAGGCCUGGGAAACCGGGUCUAAUACUGGAUAUGACUCCAUGACGCAUGUUGUGGGGUGGAAAGCCUUGUGCGGCUGAGGAUGGGCCCGCGGCCUAUCAGCUUGUUGGUGGGGUGANGGCCUACCAAGGCGACGACGGGUAGCCGGCCUGAGAGGGCGACCGGCCACACUGGGACUGAGACACGGCCCAGACUCCUACGGGAGGCAGCAGUGGGGAAUCUUGCGCAAUGGGCGAAAGCCUGACGCAGCGACGCCGCGUGAGGGAUGAC